Non-coding RNA from Oryza glaberrima (African rice), 194 nucleotides. The record is from Rfam. NCBI's taxonomy places the organism in Eukaryota, Viridiplantae, Streptophyta, Magnoliopsida, Poales, Poaceae.
AAAAAACACAAACCCUGAUUUCAGUGUCUAAUGUUUGACUGUCCGUCUUAUUUAAAAAAAAUAUAGAAAAAAAUUAAAAAGAUAAGUCACGUAUAAAGUAUUCAUCAUGUUUUAUCAUCUAACAACAAUAAAAAUACUAAUUAUAAAAAAAUUUUAUAUAAGACGGACAGUCAAACGUUGGCACGCGGUUUAUU